Molecule: transfer RNA, 77 nt
Filed under: Escherichia coli
Lineage: Bacteria; Pseudomonadati; Pseudomonadota; Gammaproteobacteria; Enterobacterales; Enterobacteriaceae
Also listed under: 2 other names
Description: tRNA-Met
Rfam family: tRNA
About the family: Transfer RNA (tRNA) molecules are approximately 80 nucleotides in length. Their secondary structure includes four short double-helical elements and three loops (D, anti-codon, and T loops).
Source: RNAcentral
CGCGGGGUGGAGCAGCCUGGUAGCUCGUCGGGCUCAUAACCCGAAGGUCGUCGGUUCAAAUCCGGCCCCCGCAACAA